UCUGUAUACGGCUUCGGUCAAAAUUAAACAGAACAUCCUGAGGAUAUAACGAGCAAUUUGGAAAAAUAAAUUUGUUGGUUUCACAAGAUCACAAGAAAAACAGUGUUCGGGGAGAUGACUCUUAUAUGGGAAAGUAUUCAGUUAAGCAGGGUCAGUUUCAAAAGCGUAUAAACUGUUCGAUAUCAUAUUUUAAAUAUCUAAGCGACAUCUUGAAAAAAAAAAAAACUGAAGGAAAAAAAUUUGGUGGAAGAAAAAAAAAUAAUCAGAAGAAAACCAAUAGGUCUUUCCACGGAAAAGUAGAAAGACCUAAUAAUAAUC
RNAcentral lists this long non-coding RNA (318 nucleotides) under Mytilus galloprovincialis (Mediterranean mussel). Lineage: Eukaryota; Metazoa; Mollusca; Bivalvia; Mytilida; Mytilidae. The record is from RNAcentral.